GUAGGUGGCAAGCGUUGUCCGGAAUUAUUGGGCGUAAAGCGCGCGCAGGUGGUUCUUUAAGUCUGAUGUGAAAGCCCCCGGCUCAACCGGGGAGGGUCAUUGGAAACUGGGGAGCUUGAGUGCAGGAGAGGAAAGUGGAAUUCCACGUGUAGCGGUGAAAUGCGUAGAUAUGUGGAGGAACACCAGUGGCGAAGGCGACUUUCUGGCCUGUAACUGACACUGAGGCGCGAAAGCGUGGGGAGCAAACAGGGAUUAGAUACCCUGGUAGUCCACGCCGUAAACGAUGAGUGCUAAGUGUUGGGGGGGUUUCCGCCCCCUCAGUGCCGCAGCUAACGCAUUAAGCACUCCGCCUGGGGAGUACGGUCGCAAGACUG
RNAcentral lists this ribosomal RNA (374 nucleotides) under uncultured organism. RNAcentral's name for it is "partial 16S ribosomal RNA". It matches the Rfam family "Bacterial small subunit ribosomal RNA", at positions 527 to 896 of the family's 1533-position model. The record is from RNAcentral.